RNAcentral lists this long non-coding RNA (5410 nucleotides) under Homo sapiens (human). RNAcentral describes it as "HSALNT0100739". The record is from RNAcentral. Lineage: Eukaryota; Metazoa; Chordata; Mammalia; Primates; Hominidae.
GGCAGGGACUCGCUGGACUGUGAGGAGAAGCAGUGUGUCCUCACCUUUCCACCUUCCUCUGGCCACAGCUUUAGCUGCUGAAUGAUAACAAGGCUGCCUGCCGAUCUCAUAAGAGGGCAUCUUGGGCAAGGCAAGGAGAAAGGGCUUUGGAGUCUUGAGUUCAAAUCCCGGCUCCCCCAGCUGCUGUGCAACCGUGAUGUAUGACAGCCUCUCUGGGCCUCAGUGUUUGUAUCUGCAAGAUGAGGCUCUGACAUAGACCUGAUUAGGUUAUGGUGAGGAUUACACAAUCCCUGCUUGAAAGGCACCUGGCUUGUUCUGAGUAAACCCUGUGACUCCCUUUAAUUCCUGGUGGGUGGCUUGCUUGUGCCCUCAUGAGGUUCAGCACUUGGCAGUACCCUGUCACCUGUUCAUCAUUAGCAAUGACGGACGCAAUGCUUCCUCUGUGACAAAGCCUCAUCCGACAGAGCAGGACUGCAGGGCUUCUCCAGGGCUUGGGGAGGGGGACAAGGGCAGUGCGCACAGUUCCUUUUUGUUUGCUGAUGCCACACUAGGCACGUGAAAGGGCUGGGUCAGAGAACCCAGCUUGGCCCACGCUGUCUCGGUUGGUGGCCGUCCUCACCUUCCUCACCCUUCAGAUCCCGUAGGGAGCCCCUGCGGUGGUGCCAUGGACGGGAAGCAUCCCACCGUGCUUGUGGCUCACCUCGAGGUCCAGGUGUCACUGCAUGGCCUGAAAAGGACUGUCUCCGAGCAGAACAAGCUCAUGACCAAGAACAAAGAGGACAUCUUGACCGUGUAAGUAAUGAUGACCGCUCUGUCCCCAGCUCAUAGGGACCCUGAGGACUCCAGGUUGCCUCCCUAUGUUGGCUCCUGAUUCAAGCAGAUGGCAGGGGGGUGUGUCCCAAGGAGCUGGGUGCUGAUGUCAGGAGCCCAGCACCCUUGUGGAAGCCAAGAACGACACUGAGGGGGCAAGAAGAGACUGUGAUGAGCUAAGUGAUGGUGUUGUCCCCAGCACGCAACAAGGGCUGGUGCGGCAACUGGCGACCUGAGAGGGAGGGCUGGUCCCAGCAGGGAGGUGUUCAUAGAAGGGAGAGAUUUUCGGUGAGGAGUGGCAGCACAGUCAUUCUCAACCCAGUGUGUCUUGGGAGAUGCCUAUGGGGUGGAAGUUGGAUGAUCAGGCUGUUAUUGGGUCAAUCUGAUUCAAGGAGAGGGAGGAGAGGUGACGUGGCCAGAAGGAGGGCAGGAGGGUGGACAGCAGAGAAUGCAGCCGGCCACCCGGGCCAUCCCCCUUGCCUCCACUCACUCAUCCUUUCCCACCCCUGGGCCGAGGAUGCGUCUCAUUAGGUAGUUUUCAGAUGGGUAAACUGAGGCAGGAGCCAUUCCAGGCCCAGAGAGGAGAGCCAGGAAGGCACGUGUUGUAAUCCCUGGGUUAGUUUUUCAUUCACACACAGGGGAACCUCUCCAGCCCUGCCACUCACUAGUUUUAAGAGGCUCAAGUGUUCUGAUUCCUGGCAGCAGCAACGUGGUAAUGCUUCUUUCUUGUUCCCUCCCUGAUCCCUUCUUCCCUCAUGCUUGAGGGCUUGGCCCCGCUUUUCUCCAUGUAUUUCCACCAGGGUGCCACACUGCCUGGAAUUGCAACCGCUGGGGCCUUGUCCAGUUUAUUAUCUCUCACCACAGGUGCAGGAAGGAGGCAGGGAGCAGGGCUGUGUCGCAGAGCAAGGCCAGGGCAUCCCACCCCACCAUGGCCGCCCAUCCCCAUGGCCUCCCUCAAGAUCAGGAAACUGCUCCACAUUGCAGUAACUAAGUGCACCAGGCGUGGCUGCUGGUGAGGGGUGGUCAGGCAGCACCUGUGGCCAGCCUAAAGGAAGGUCAAGGUUUGUGAAGGCAUCUGGUGCCUCCCCUGUUGAAAUUUCUUUUUCUCCUCCUUAUUAGUUGAAUCUUAAGAAUUGACAGUACCAUAAAACGUGAAACCUUUAUUUCUGCUUUUUAAAUGGAAAACCGGGCUGGGCACAGCGGCUCAUGCCUAUAAUCCCAGCACUUUGGGAGGCUGAGGUGGGCAGAUCGGCUGAGGUCAGGAGUUCAAGAUCAGCCUGGCCAACAUGGUGAAACCCCAUCUCUACUAAAAAUACAAAAAUUAGCCAGGCAUGGUGGCACAUGCCUGUAACCCCAGCUACUCAGGAGGCUGAGGCAGGAGAAUCGCUUAAACCCAGGAGGCGGAGGUUGCAGUGAGACGAGAUUGCGCCAUUGCACUCCAGCCUGGGUGGCAGAGUGAGACUCCACCUCAAAAAAAAGAAAAAAGGAAAACCAAGCAAAAGUCACUGUCAGGGGACCUCCCACCCACCAUACAGGGGAACACUCGGCAGAGCCAGAGGCCUGGGCCCAAGUCCUGCCACCAGCUGGCUGUGAAACUGUGGUACAGCACCUUGUGUCCUGCCACCAGCCGGCUGUGAAACUGGUACAGCACCUUGUCCUCAGGUCCUUGGUUUCCUCACUUGUAAAUUCAUGGUUCUCCAUGGCAUCUCUGGUCUUCAACAUUAUUUUGCAUAGAGUCUCAGAAGCUUUAGUGUGAGCGGAUGAUAUGGGCACGAAGCAAGGCACCCAGAAGUGGGGGCAACUACUCUGCUUUCUAAAAUGCAAGGGAACCGGAAAAUCCAGGAGCCGUGCCAAAUGAGAAGAGGAACAAAUGGAGGAACAUCCCAGUCAAGUGACAUUCCUAGUGACAUUCACCAGAACAGAGUCAAGCUUUGGAUCCCAUGUUCUGUGACUUCCUCUUCACCACGCUUCCUCCACACACGUAGCAGCUCAAGGGUUUCUGAUGAGUGGGAGGCUUGACUAGAAUUGAAUUCGAGACAAGCACAAAGAUCAUGAUGCAAAUGAAAGGGACAGAGGGGAGAGAAACAGAAAACAAGUGAGUCAAAUUUGAGCAUUGCACCCAGUGGAGAAGCAUGUGUGGCCAGGGAGCUGCAUGAAGGUGAAAUCAGAACCUGUCCUUGGAGCACUCCUGGAAGUAUGAGCAGGGGUGCAGUCAGGACGGCCUGACUCUCUGACCCUGUGACUGAGCCACAGGGGUCUCUUCUAUGCUUCACUGUGCUUCUUCAAUCUUGCCAUCACUGUGUUGAAAAAGCAUCCCUGGGCAUUUGUGGUGAAGCCAUUGGCAGAGCAUCAACAGUCUUUCCAAUGUACCAGUCCCACAGGGACCAGCCCCGGCUCCUUUACUUGGUUCAUCAUCCCACAAAAAAGGCUCCAGAGUGAUGAGUGGAGGGAAUGUGUAUACAAGCUGGGAGAUGCUUCAGGGAUGGGGCAUGACUCUGAGAAGCUCCACAUGCAAAACAGGGUUAUGAUGGUCUAGGAGCCAGCUGCAGGGAGGUGGGCAGCCAGGAGGUGGGCUGGGGCUAUCAGGGGAGUGACUGACUGCAAGGGCAGGCUCAAGGUGAAACUUUGAGAGGCAGAUCCCAAGGCCCUUGGAUCUGGCCUGUUACAGCAAAUGGAGGAGUAAGGCAGAAAAGUCCUCUAGGGCUGUCUUCUACUCUCUCCUCCAACAGAUUUUCACUGAGCAUUUGCCAUGAGCCAGACUCUGUUAGCUGUUGAGGUUUCAAGGGAAGGUAGAAAAGACAGAAGCAAACCAAUGAUAAAGAUAUCUAUUGUCUUUUAGUGACUUUCAUACACGCUCCCUCUCUUUUUUAUUCUGUGCAUCUCAUUAUCUAAGGGCUCGUUUUGUACCAAAUGCUUUUAUACAUCAUCUCAUUCAAAUCUCUCUGAGGUUGGAAAUGCUAUUUUUGUUUUACAGCUGUAAAAACUAAGGCCAGAGAGGGAAAGUGAGUGACCCAGGGCCCCACAGCUAGACAGAUUCAAAUCCAUGGGGUCUAUCUUAGUGACAAAGCUGGCACAUUUCUUCCCCUCCUUGUGCCUGCUGAGGUUUUUUUGUUUUGUUUUGUUUUGUUUUUUGUUUGUUUGUUUUGGCUUUUAACAUUUUACAAUAUUUUGCUAUUUUUUCCUAAUCAGGCAAUAUACAUAAAUAUUUUAACAAUCAACUAGUUUAAGAUUUAUGAAAAACAGCGUUUUCUUGCCCACCUUCUCCCAAUUCUUCCUGCUCCCCAGAGGCAGCCACUUCCAAAUGUUAGCCAGUUCAAUUCUACAUGUAAUAGGAGAACGGCAAUUUUUAUUGAUGUGUUGAUUUGAGACAUUUGGCAUCUUCCGGUGAUGAAGUUUUGUCUCUCUCUACUGGACACCAUCUGCCUCUUCCAGAUGUAUUCUUCUCACCCUGGGCAUUCUCCCAAGAGGCUGACCUGUAGGAACGCAGUGAACAGGCUACCUGAUCACUGGCUUCUGGGUUGGGUGUGGCUCAUGAGAGACAUUGGCAGGAGACUGGAUUGGAGGAAGAUGCAGGGGCCAGAGUGUUUACUCUCCUAGAUAAGCCCCUUCCUCCUCUUCUGGCAGGCAGUGCUCUCCAUAUAGCCGCUCUCUUAGGUUCUAGAAAUUGCUCCUACCUUGCCCUUGAGCUCUCAUGCCUAGAGGUGGCAAUGACUGCCUGCUACUGUCAGUGCUAGGUACUGCACUCUGUUUUCCUAAACCCUUUUCACACUUUUAUGAAUAGUCUAUUCAUUACAAUUAGAUACAACUUACCCCCACACCAUCCCCAUACAACUAUACACUCCCCUUCCAGUAUCCUCUCAAUAUAAUUAUAUCAUAUUUGUUGACAUCAUUAGUUGGACAGUAUUUACAUUAUUAAACUAUAUAAAUAUUGCUGACUACAUAGCCAAGUAGAGAGUUAUCAGUCGUGAUUGCAUUUCCUUUUCUAAACUAAUUUUUGUUUUUCCUGCGUUUAACUGCCCAUUUUAAAAAAAGACUUAGUUUUCAAUACAUAGGUCUUUAAUUCUUUCCACACACACCAUCAGACAUGUUAAAUGCAUGUACAUGUUGUUUUCCUGUUUCAAACAUUGUAAAUUCUCUGUAUCUUUUUCUUUGGGUGGGGGGCAAGUGUGAAGUAAACCAGCCUCCAGAAUAAAUAGAACUCAGUGUUAUGGAUUCUAAAAUUAAAAUCUUAACAAAUUAACAAAGUGAUGAAAACAGGAAGUUUAGCUCUCAAGGAUCCUUUAUUGGUCUUAAAGGUUUUACUCUCUUUGGCAAAUAUUGUGACCACUUUAUAGAUGCUACAUAUUCUACUAGACAAAUACUAUGACCUCUUUCAAAGUGUAUCAUCAUUCCCCUUUUAAAUAGCACAUUCGAAGUGUGCUGACUUUUAGUUCUAGGGUCUGCCUUCCCCUUACCUGCUGAGUGUCACAGGAUCUCUUCCCUCCUUGAUUAUCUCAAGGAGAUACAUCAACUUUUGGUUCAUAAAAGAAAGUCAGUCGCUUUUAUUUGUUAAAGACUUGAAGUAUGGGCUGGGCGUGGUGGCUCACGCCUGUAAUCCCAG